GUGAGGAAUUUUCCGCAAUGGGCGAAAGCCUGACGGAGCAAUGCCGCGUGAAGGAUGAAGGCCUAUGGGUUGUAAACUUCUUUUCUCAGAAAAGAAUUAUGACGGUAUCUGAGGAAUAAGCAUCGGCUAACUCUGUGCCAGCAGCCGCGGUAAGACAGAGGAUGCAAGCGUUAUCCGGAAUGAUUGGGCGUAAAGCGUCUGUAGGUUGUUUAAAAAGUAUUCUGUCAAAGAUUAGGGCUUAACCCUAGAUAGGCAGAAUAAACUUUUAAGCUAGAGUUUGGUAGAGGCAGAGGGAAUUCCCGGUGGAGCGGUGAGAUGCGUAGAUAUCGGGAGGAACACCAAAGGCGAAGGCACUCUGCUGGGCCAAUACUAACACUGAGAGACGAAAGCGAGGGGAGCAAAUGGGAUUAGAAACCCGGGUAGUCC
This 426-nucleotide ribosomal RNA is filed under the name uncultured bacterium. RNAcentral describes it as "partial 16S ribosomal RNA". It matches the Rfam family "Bacterial small subunit ribosomal RNA", at positions 354 to 796 of the family's 1533-position model. The record is from RNAcentral.